Molecule: ribosomal RNA, 246 nt
Filed under: uncultured bacterium
Lineage: Bacteria
Description: partial 16S ribosomal RNA
Rfam family: Bacterial small subunit ribosomal RNA
Source: RNAcentral
UACGAAGGGGGCUAGCGUUGCUCGGAAUCACUGGGCGUAAAGCGCACGUAGGCGGCUUUUUAAGUCAGAGGUGAAAUCCUGGAGCUCAACUCCAGAACUGCCUUUGAUACUGGAGUGCUUGAGUCCGGGAGAGGUGAGUGGAACUGCGAGUGUAGAGGUGAAAUUCGUAGAUAUUCGCAAGAACACCAGUGGCGAAGGCGGACUCACUGGCCCGGUACUGACGCUGAGGUGCGAAAGCGUGGGGAG